RNAcentral lists this ribosomal RNA (254 nucleotides) under uncultured bacterium. RNAcentral describes it as "partial 16S ribosomal RNA". It matches the Rfam family "Bacterial small subunit ribosomal RNA", at positions 79 to 334 of the family's 1533-position model. The record is from RNAcentral.
CUUUCUUUGCUGGCGACCGGCGCACGGGUGAGUAACACGUAUCCAACCUGCCCUUUACUCGGGGAUAGCCUUUCGAAAGAAAGAUUAAUACCCGAUAGUAUAAUGAUUCCGCAUGGUUUCAUUAUUAAAGGAUUCCGGUAAAGGAUGGGGAUGCGUUCCAUUAGGCUGUUGGUGAGGUAACGGCUCACCAAGCCUUCGAUGGAUAGGGGUUCUGAGAGGAAGGUCCCCCACAUUGGAACUGAGACACGGUCCAA